RNAcentral lists this long non-coding RNA (1028 nucleotides) under Lactuca sativa (garden lettuce). Its description in RNAcentral is "long non-coding RNA (LSAT_LNC004731)". Lineage: Eukaryota; Viridiplantae; Streptophyta; Magnoliopsida; Asterales; Asteraceae. The record is from RNAcentral.
CAACAACACCCACACAACUGAGUUUGCAACCUGUGUUUGAUAAAGUUUCCUCAAGCCAAUUUUACGUAAAAUGGGAUGUCGCUUGUUUUGUUGGUCUUGUGGCAGAUGCUUGGAGACAUUGGAAGGUAUGAAGGUCAUGUCAACGAUUGUCCCAACCCAAGACACGAAGACAAACUCUGUCGUUGAUCAAGUUGUUGCGGAACAAAGGUAAUUUCAAGAACACCGAUUCCAACAAUCAUGGCAAGAUAAUCAACAUGAGAUCUCAUCUUACACAAGUUUAUGCAAAGAAAACGAAUCCGCACAAACCUAUGUAGUUCUCCCUCCUCCUCCUCCAGGUCGUUAAUUUGUAUGUUACUAGGUUGAUUCAAACAUUUUAUAAGGUCACAUCUGUUGAUAAAAAAAGAAAAUGAAAACUAAAUCCAAAAUUUCCAACAAAAUACAAGCAAUGUGUAUAUCUUAUCAUAAAGCCUAUUUGAGCUAAUUUAAUUUUCAAAUCUAUAAAAUUUUACAUAAGUAGGAUAAUAUUAACUAUAAGUAGUAAAUAAAAUCCAUAUAUUUUAGCAUUUGGGAUGUAGCAUGGGUUACAUCAAUAUUGAAACAUUUUAGAACAUAAAUAACCAAGAAUAAUGAGCUCAAAGAUUUUUCGUUUAAAAAAAAAAACUAAAUAAUCCAACAACCAUGGUUAAAACGUAAAACAUAUUAACCUAAAGUUAAAGAGCAACAACCCAAUAUUGCUAAAAAAAUCAGACCUGUAGCUUCGAUAAGUGCGAUUAAACAAUGUCAAAGAAAGUAAACUUAAAAAAUAGUAAUGAUUGAGUAAAGCUACUAAAAUGCCACAAGAAAUUACGAUAAAAAAGUAACAAAUCAGUGAGUGAAGCGACAAAAUAGAUUUGAUAGAAAGGUAAAAAUAUAAAAUAUAAUUUAAACUGAAAUUAUGUUCUUACCAGCAAGCUUUCUCAAUUCUCAAAACCUCGACAUGACGGGAGCAUAAGGAUUACGGAGGGGAAGACCAGUAAAGGGGUUUUAAU